GACGAACGCUGGCGGCGUGCCUAACACAUGCAAGUCGAACGUAUCAGUGCUUCGGCGCUGAUGAGUGGCGAACGGGUGAGUAACACGUGAGUAACUUGCCCGGGGAGGGGGAUAACCAUCUGAAAAGAUGGCUAAUACCCCAUAUUCUCCUUUAUUGCCAGAUAAAGGAGGAAAGGUGGCGUAAGCUGUCGCCCCCGGAGAGGCUCGCGUCCCAUCAGCUAGUUGGUAGGGUAAUGGCUUACCAAGGCUAUGACGGGUAGCUGGUCUGAGAGGAUGGUCAGCCACACUGGGACUGAGACACGGCCCAGACUCCUACGGGAGGCAGCAGUGAGGAAUCUUGGGCAAUGGGCGAAAGCCUGACCCAGCGACGCCGCGUGGAGGAAGAAGGUCUUCGGAUCGUAAACUCCUGUUCGGGGAGAAGAACAAGAGAGAAGUUAAUAGCUUCUCUCUCUGACGGUAUCCCCGGAGAAAGCUCCGGCUAAUUACGUG
RNAcentral lists this ribosomal RNA (489 nucleotides) under uncultured bacterium. RNAcentral describes it as "bacterial SSU rRNA". It matches the Rfam family "Bacterial small subunit ribosomal RNA", at positions 28 to 507 of the family's 1533-position model. The record is from RNAcentral.